UACGUAGGGUGCGAGCGUUAAUCGGAAUUACUGGGCGUAAAGCGUGCGCAGGCGGUUUUGUAAGACAGGCGUGAAAAUCCCCCGGGCGUUAACCUCGGGAACGUGCGUUUGUGACUGCAAGGCUAGAGUGUAGCAGAGGGGGGUAGGAAUUCCACGUGUAGCAGUGAAAUAGCGUAGAUAUGUGGAGGAAUACCGAUGGCGAAGGCAGCCCCCCUCGGG
This 219-nucleotide ribosomal RNA is filed under the name uncultured bacterium. RNAcentral describes it as "partial 16S ribosomal RNA". It matches the Rfam family "Bacterial small subunit ribosomal RNA", at positions 524 to 733 of the family's 1533-position model. The record is from RNAcentral.